GGUCAAGUAAUCAAGAGCAUACGGUGGAUGCCUAGGUACGCAGAGGCGAUGAAGGACGUGGUUAACUGCGAUAAGCCUCGGGGAGCGGUAAGCACGCGUUGAUCCGGGGAUGUCCGAAUGGGGAAACCCACUAGGGGUCAUGCCCUAGUAGCACAGUCUGAAUCCAUAGGACCGUGUGGCCAACGAGGGGAACUGAAACAUCUUACUACCCUCAGGAAGAGAAAGCAACAGCGAUUCCCUAAGUAGCGGCGAGCGAACCGGGAACAGCCUAAACCACAUGGCUGGAAGCCUGCCAGCGUUGGCCAUGUGGGGUUGUGGGGCACAGGAUGGAGUUGUGGCAGUGGCUCCGAGGUAAUGCUCAAGAUAUAGACGAAGGCGGUUGGAAUACCCGACCAUAGAGGGUGAGAGUCCCGUAGUCGAAAUGUCUUGAUAACCUUGACUGUGUACCCGAGUACCGCGGGACCCGUGGAAACCUGUGGGAAGCAGGGAGGCCCACCUCCCAAGGCUAAAUACUCCUGCGUGACCGAUAGUGGACUAGUACCGUGAGGGAAAGGUGAAAAGCACGCCCGUUAGGCGAGUGAAAUAGACCCUGAAACUGUGUGCUUACAAGCGGUGGGAGCUCGGGUGCUGGCUAAGCCAGCAGUGAGUGACCGCGUGCCUUUUGCAUAAUGAGCCAAC
Molecule: ribosomal RNA, 678 nt
Filed under: Candidatus Entotheonella serta
Lineage: Bacteria; Pseudomonadati; Candidatus Tectimicrobiota; Candidatus Entotheonellia; Candidatus Entotheonellales; Candidatus Entotheonellaceae
Description: bacterial LSU rRNA
Rfam family: Bacterial large subunit ribosomal RNA
Source: RNAcentral